Molecule: ribosomal RNA, 462 nt
Filed under: uncultured bacterium
Lineage: Bacteria
Description: partial 16S ribosomal RNA
Rfam family: Bacterial small subunit ribosomal RNA
Source: RNAcentral
GACGAACGCUGGCGGCGUGCUUAACACAUGCAAGUCGAACGGUAAGGCCCUUCGGGGUACACGAGUGGCGAACGGGUGAGUAACACGUGGGUAAUCUGCCCUGCACUUCGGGAUAAGCCUGGGAAACUGGGUCUAAUACCGGAUAUUCAGUUCCUGCCGCAUGGUGGGGGUUGGAAAGUUUUUCGGUGCAGGAUGAGCCCGCGGCCUAUCAGCUUGUUGGUGGGGUAAUAGCCUACCAAGGCGACGACGGGUAGCCGGCCUGAGAGGGUGAUCGGCCACACUGGGACUGAGACACGGCCCAGACUCCUACGGGAGGCAGCAGUGGGGAAUAUUGCACAAUGGGCGAAAGCCUGAUGCAGCGACGCCGCGUGAGGGAUGACGGUCUUCGGAUUGUAAACCCCUUUCAGUAGGGACGAAGCGCAAGUGACGGUACCUGCAGAAGAAGCACCGGCCAACUACGUG